ACCUGUAAACAGCUGUGAGGUCUGCCACCACAACCUCAUAAAACCCACCAAACCCAGCAAGGAAAACUGAUGACCUGAUCUCUGCCAAUAGGACAAGAUCGGAAGUGCAGUCCUCAAGCCUUCUGUGCUACCCUGCUGCAUCUGAGUGUAGACAGAACUCACUGUGCCCACCAGCAGGCUCUGCAUUUGGGGUCUGGACACCCCCCAUAUCUUGAUUGUUGGGGUGCACCAUAAGUGUGGGUGGGGCACACCACAAGUGUGAACAGAAACGGGUGUGCACUGUGGGUGUGUGUGUGGGGUGUUCCCCCAAGUGUGGCUAUGUGUGCAAACUCAUCAUGAGUUAGCAGAAACUUAGCACUUCUCUGGCAUGUGAAGUACCUGUCACCCUCUCCACUUUGGGCUCUACAGAGAGCUUUGUUGGGAUCUGGGCUGGACAGUGGGAAGGCUGUCACCAUGGCUGGUGUGGGCUGUGAUUGGGCACCUCAGCUCCACACUCUCCUUUGUGGUCAUCCAGUGUCCUGAAAGAGGGUCAGGGGGGACCUGAUCAGCUGAGUCCAGAGUGAAAGGCGGAAGGCCUGUGGGGAAGGUGCCUUUCGUAAUGACCAAGUGAAGGGGACUCCUGUGCAGAAUCUACGCUGAGAUGACAAAUGUUGACCUCUGAUUUUCCCUAAGAGUCUACAGUGUGAGCUCUGACUUGCACAGCAGGUCCCAGGUCCUUGUUCCUGGCAUGAGGCAAGGUUGUGUCUCUGUCCUGCAUGGUGGCCGCCCUGCUUCCAACUGAGGAGUCCCCUCUCUCCUGACUGCAAGCUUCCACCCUCCUCAGGUCGGCUGCCUGCUGUGUGGCUCUCACUGUUGUCCUUGGUCCUGUCAGGAGCUUUCAAGGCCCAGGAAAAAGAACCCAAAGGACACGGCCCCAGCUCCUUGGAGACACAAAUUUAAUAAGGCACAUGUGCUCCCCUCACUGUACGGGAUUGACCUGAGCAGAACAUUUGGAAUUCAAAAUGUUUUGACCUAAA
Molecule: long non-coding RNA, 1016 nt
Organism: Cavia porcellus (domestic guinea pig)
Lineage: Eukaryota; Metazoa; Chordata; Mammalia; Rodentia; Caviidae
Exons: 3
Source: RefSeq, a predicted model, not a curated record